RNAcentral lists this ribosomal RNA (252 nucleotides) under uncultured bacterium. RNAcentral describes it as "partial 16S ribosomal RNA". It matches the Rfam family "Bacterial small subunit ribosomal RNA", at positions 79 to 334 of the family's 1533-position model. The record is from RNAcentral.
CUUGCUAAGGGGAUUAGUGGCGAACGGGUGAGUAAUAUAUCGGAACGUACCUUGUAAUGGGGGAUAACUAGUCGAAAGAUUAGCUAAUACCGCAUACGCCCUGAGGGGGAAAGUAGGGGAUCUUCGGACCUUACGUUAUAAGAGCGGCCGAUAUCUGAUUAGCUAGUUGGUGGGGUAAUGGCCUACCAAGGCGACGAUCAGUAGCCGGCCUGAGAGGGUGAACGGCCACAUUGGGACUGAGACACGGCCCAA